Molecule: RNA transcript, 5503 nt
Organism: Helicoverpa armigera (cotton bollworm)
Lineage: Eukaryota; Metazoa; Arthropoda; Insecta; Lepidoptera; Noctuidae
Exons: 2
Source: RefSeq, a predicted model, not a curated record
UCAAUGUGUUCCUCAGGUUUUUUGAUGUGGACUGUUUGGUAUCCACGGACGUUACAUGAAACGUGAUAAAUAAGGUUCGCUAUACACGGCAAAAUAUAUUUGCAUUAUUUUUGUUUUGCUAGUGGUGGUAUAAUAUUUUGCUUGAGACGAUACUAAUAUUGAAUAUAAAAUUGCACUUUUGGGUUUUGUACUAAUAUUCUUCAUUUAUUUUUCGCUUGGUUUCCGUUGGAUAUGUAUAAAUGUUCUAAUGUUUUUUUUUUGAGACAUUAAUUAUAUGUUUGUUCGUGUUGAUUAAUUUCCGCUAAAUGUAAAAAAAUGCACUUAUGGAUUUGACUACCUUUCUUUUUUACUGUUGCCCUUGCACGUGCAAGGUAGCAUAUAUUUUAAUGCUUUGUCGCCAAAUUUUAUUUUAUUAUUUGAAUAAUACUAAUGUUUUGAAUUAUUCAUACAUGAAUUACAGAUCACCAAAUGAAAGCUUUUGUGUUGAGUGAAACGGGAGAACCAGAGGACGUGGGGGAAACAAGGGACGUGGGGUCGGUCAGGCCAUGGCAGUCGCGGUGACCGUGGCAGUCGUGGAGGUGGUGAGACACGCGGGAACCGUGGCGGGCCUGGCAGCCGGGGUGGCUGCAGGGGCGCGGACACGAUAGUUUGCCCUCUCAAACAGGGAGGCAAGUAAAUUUUGCAUGGAUUUAUUACGUAUAUAAAUGUCUUUUAUUUUUAAUGCUGUAGCAUUUUUUCUAACAGUGAGCUAGACGUCGUCCGCGCCCAGCGCCAAAUAACGCAGAGGCGCGCUGCAGCCCUGUCUGUAGAGGUUAGGCAGGAGCUUCUGUCUCGGAAGCGCGAAGCCGAAACCUCGCGAUGAUUGCGGCGGCCGAUAGACGCGCCCGGUACGUUUGUUUAUUACAUAUUUACAACUUAACAUUGCAUCAAGCCUUGGUAACGUUUUUUUUUUAGAUUACCUUCUCCGGAGCGCGAGGCAUGUAUCUUUGAAGAGCCGCAACCGCAACCGGAGCCGCAGCCACAACCGGAACUGCAAACCAGUUGAGUCAUAAUUCUAGGUAAUGAUUGAUCCGAAAGUUAAUUCUUAUUUUUUGUUAUCCGUUUUGUUGUAUUGAAGUGAAAUUAUUUGUUUUAGAGAAUAUUCAAUUGGUGCCCCCCCGGCCGGUCGAAAUCCGUAAGUAAAUGCUUUACAAGAUCUAUAAAUAAUCUUUUUUUAUUUAUUACUUAUUGCUGUUACAGAGGAGCUAGAAGCUGGCGGACAAGGAGGAGCUGGAUCCAGUGUAUCGGUACGCCAGAUUUGGAUACCGCCCCCAAUUCUCCUAGUUCUCUAGAUCCAGGCCGUCUUAAUACAGAGGCUAAUGCCUUGAUGGCAAAAACUCCCCAGAAAAAGGGCUUUGUCGGUUAUAUGUAUACGGAUGAAGAGUAAGAGAAGCGUCCCCUUAAUGUUUUUUUUUAUUUUCCCCGACACACACACACAGUUGUUGUUUUUUAUGAAUUAUGAAUCUACAUUACCAAUAACAUACAGAUACAUUUGCACACUAUACAUAUACACCAAAAUGUAUAAAACUAAAAAAAAAGGUCAGGAUUCUUUGUUUUUAUUCUUUGCAGUCAUUUUUAUUCAUGUUUUGGUUACUUUGAGACAUACACUAUAUAAUUUAGUAGAAUUUUAUUUCUGGAAACAAUAUGGCUGCGAACGGAGAAGGAAUUUCUGUUGCGUCUUCCACAAGUACACAACGUAAUUCGAUUGGUACGCAUAUUGGUAUUUAUUCAACUAGAAGUCAUGUUGCGCCGACCCCAAAUGACUUGGGAACAGGGCAGGAAGAUGAUAUGAUUCAACUAGAAGUCAAAUUUUAAAGACCGCAAAAUAGUAACGGUAUAUGUUUGUUUUAGGGGUUAACGACAAAGAAUUUGAUGAAAUAAUUGACGAGUGGAUGAAACUCAAUGACGACCUAAGCGACUGCGACAUGGACAUAGAAAACGAGGAACACAUCAUACCACAGAUUACCUCACGCAAUGCUUCGGCCGAGCCUGCAGUUCUCGCCGACAUAACUCCUCGCGAGACCCAAGUACUUGACGUAGAAGACAGACAAAAUGACCUGGCAAUUAGGGAGCUUGUAUCGACUGACUGUUACAACUUUAAAUGGACAAGAGACCGACAGAUUUUUACAGGACGACGUGAGACUAUUACUGGAAGUCCAGGACCUACAUUUAAAAUGAUAGACAUAGACUUUGUUGACAGAAUUUGCACAGAGAAUAACCAGGUACGCUGACCAAAAAAUUAAAAUUUUAAAAGACCAAAAUAAGUUCCUACCGACAAUACGACUUUACAGAUGGACACCGACUGACAGGAACGAAAUGAUCAGUUUCUUUGCCAUUUUACAGGGGCCCCUGCCGGAAGAGGAGUCCUAUUUUUGUUUUAAUGGUUUCGGCACUAUGCCUUAUUUUUCUAAUAUUAUGUAGUAUAAUAGGUUUGUAUUAAUUAAAUCUCUGAUACAUUUCGUUGACAAUGAGACUAUAACUGACCCUACGACAAAUUUUCCAGCAUGUAUAAUCCUUCCCAAGAUAUUGUCACAGACGAAUCCCUUCUGAAGUGGCAUGGGAGAUGGGAGGCUUCGCUCAGAAGAUUUUGUCGAAGGCUGCACAAGUCGGAGUGGUGACAUACGAGUUGUGUGAGUCUUCCUCGGGGUAUCUUUGGAAGUUCUUUGUAUAUGCUGGAAAAGACAAGACCAAGACUGCGACCGCAACUACGACUGACGACAUUGAUGAUACAGACGACAGACCUGCGGAGACGGAAACGACUGAACAACUUUUACCUGGCAGUAGCAAUGCACGUCCCAGCAACGCUACUGCCAAAAUUGUGUAUGACUUCGUAGAGCCGUUACUUCACCGUGGACAUACGUUAAUAAUGGUAAUUUUUUAUAAUAGACCAUUAUAGCGCGAUGUCUAAAACGGCAAGGCACAGAUACGAGCUACGAGACGUUAAGACCGAAUCGGGAAUUCGUUCCCGAUUCACUGAAGACAGUAUCAAAGACGGAUCUUCGACAAGGUGAAGUAAUGGCACGCUACUGUGCCGAUUUGUCGAUUAUUAUAUAGCGAGAUUCUAACCUAGUUAGCAUGAUCUCGACUUACCGUAACCUACAAAUCGGUAAAAAACAAAAACAUAACCGACUGACUUAUAAGCCAAGUGUAGUCCUGAUUUACAACAAAUCCAUGGGAGGUGUGGACCGGAAAGACCAGUUCUUAUCUGCUCAGCCCUUGGAGCGAACAAAAAACAAAAUAUGGUACAAAAAACUGUUCUGCCGCUUGUUUAAAGGUAGGACCGCACUUAAGCGACACUCCGCGGCAGUGGAGCGAUGCGACACGUAACGACACUAUAGGUAUACCGCACUUGAACUGCAGUGCUGCGACAGUUUGCAGCAAAUUUUGUCUGUCACUCGCUUGGCAAUCUAAAGAAGAUGGAUGAAACUGAUUUGAAUGUUAUUUUGAGUAAGGCGGACGAAAGUGACUUGGAUAUUGUAAUAGUAUCUUUGCUUUAUGAAGAAGAAGAAAGAAUGGAAAAACAGCAAACAAAAAAGAAUAGAUGGGUUCAUGACACUCCGUAUUCACGAUAUGAAGAAGGGGAAUAUCAUACACUUUUGCCGCGGCUUAAAAAUGAUCAGAAAAGGUUUCACACAUACUUUAGAAUGUCUCAAAAUAGAUUUGAUGACUUGUUACAAAUUAUGAAGCCCCUUAUAGAAAAACAGGAUACAUUUUUCCGAAAAGCGAUAAAUGUGGAAGAAAGACUCAUGGUUACAAUCAGGUUCCUUGCUACUGGAGAUUCGUUCAAGACCAUCGCAGAAUCUUUUCGUUUGGGUUAUACAACCGUGCAAGAAAUUGUACAUACUACUUGUGUAGCUUUGUGGGAAGGGUUGUCCAAAAUAGUCAUGCCCAUUCCAGAUGAACAGAAAUGGAUGGACAUUGCAAAAGAAUUUUACGAAAAAUGGAACUAUCCUAACUGUAUUGGUGCACUAGAUGGGAAGCACAUAGAAAUUUUCGCGCCACCGAAUAGUGGCUCACUAUUUUUUAAUUACAAGAAGUUCUUUUCAAUUGUACUACUUGCUCCAGUGGACGCAAAUUACAAAUUUAUAUACAUAUGUGAAUGUUGGUGAUCUGGGUAAAAAUAGUGAUGCAGGGAUAUAUUCGCGAUCAAAACUAGCAUUAUCAUUAGAAUCCAAUACUUUGAAUAUACCAGGCCCUAAAGAAUUACCUGGAUCGCCAAAUAAACUACCUCACGUGAUAGUUGGGGAUGAAGCUUUCCCACUAAAAAUUAUUUAAUGAGACCUUACCCUGGGACAUAGUUAAAUGAUCAAUCAAAACAAGUAUACAAUUACAGACAUAGUAGAGCACGAAGAGUUUCAGAAAACGCAUUCGGCAUAUUAUGCCAAAAAAUCAGAAUUUAUUAUCGCAAUAUCUGUCUUAGUGCGGAACACGUAGACUACGUAAUUCUUGCUACUACUGUGUUACAAAAUUUUCUUAGACACGACAACGUGUCGUUUGAUAAUGAAGACACUGAAGAGACACAAUUACGAGGCCUUCCUCGUAUUGGGGGUAACUUCGUAUAUAACGCUAUGCACGUACGGGAUAGAUUUAAAUAUUAUUUCAAUUCUCCUCAAGGUAGUUUGGCCUGGAAAAAUGAAACUGUAAACAGGGGAUGUCGUCAACGAUAAUACGUUCAGAUACCUACCUACCUAUAAAGAAUAAUAAUGCAUAGUCACAACGUGUGUCUACUUCAUUUUAUUUGUGUGUAUUAGCCGAAUGUGUCUACUUUCUUUACAUGCACGCAAAUAUAAAUUCUAAUAAGCAUAUUUAAUUCUAAAUAAAUUCAAAUAAUACAAGGUUUCUAGCGUUUUUAUUCUAAGCCUACCCACAUAGAAUUAAGAAAUCACAUUGGCUUUCCCAUACUAAAAAGUUGAUGAAAAUAAAUACAAUCUUGUACCAACUCAGAAAGAUGUAUGAAAUUUACUUCCUCGAUACUCCCAUUUCCUCGCCAAUUUCCCUCCAAAUGUUGUUUUUCCUAAGAGAAUUCAUAUAAUGUUCAUUUUGAGGAUCAUAUAUCUCAGGAUACUGACUGACUAACAUAAUUAAUUUCUCUUCGUCGAAAGCCAUUUCAAACACGAACCGUUACCGUUACCGUUAUGCUACGGCCGCACUCAUCGCGAUAACCCGAAUAUUCACGUUAUCGCGAUAUGUGUAGCCAAGUAUUCGCGAACCCUUCGGCACUUCGGGCGAAGCUUCGGGCUUAUCGCUUCGCUGUCGGUAAACUCUCGCAGAUCAAAGGGUUUUAUUGCGAUGAACUUCGCGGUGCGCGGCCACACUUCAGUCGGCCCGUACGCAUCGGCCAAGCGGACGUGUUUUCAACGCUAGUAUUUUCUCUAUAGUUUUCACUACAGUGCUGAACGAACAUGGAUUGGAGCAACGAAAAAAUUUUAGAAUUCAUUGCGAAUUAUGAGACUGAGCCGAUAUU